AUAUUAUUCAGGAACAUUUACUAAUACAGAAAUAAGAUGGGAAAUAAAUAGGAAAGAAUUAUAUUCAGUAUAUAAAUGUUUACUAUCAUUUGAACCAUAUAUUGUAUAUAACAAAUUUAUUAUAAGGACCGAUAAUACACAAGUAAAAUACAAGAUUCGGUAACUACGAAAGAAAUGAGAAGAUUGGUAUUAAAUAUAUUAAAUUUUACAUUUACUAUUGAAGUGAUAAAAACUGACAAGAAUGUUAUUGCAGAUUACUUAUCAAGACAAAGCUACACAGACUGAAAAAGAAAAUACUAUAGAAGAAAUACUCAAAGCUAUGAACCUACUUUGCACAAAAGUAGAAAAUAUUGACAAAGAGCUACAACUAAUACGAAGUCAGCAGCAUGACUAUAAAAUUGCGGAGCUAAGUCGAUCGAAAGACUUUAAAAAUCCAGAUCUAAAAGGUGACGUUGGGAAACACCUUAAAACCCAUAAUGUUUGUUUAAAUACAGCUGCAGGUACGAGCAAACAAGUUAGUGAAAAACAACAUAAGAAUACAAACUUAAACCAGCUAUUUGAAAAACCAUUUACUCCGAGAACACCAAAAAACACAUUGGCUAUGGAACCCCAAACCUCAACCUAUGCAGAUAGCCUACAAAACGAGAAAAACUUAUAUCAUGUUACGAGAACCUAUAGAGAGAUAAGUGGAAUACCAGAGUUACACAAAGCAUUAGUCACAUAUAAAAGAAUUACCAAAGGAAAUUUAUUUUAUAUAAAAUUUUAUACAGCACCAGCGGAGAUAUUAUACGAGGAGACAAAACCUCCAAUUCAAGUAUUAAGAUAGGAUUAACCAAAGAUAUGAUUAUACCUGAUGAUAUCAGACAACAAGAAGAAAUACAAAAAAUAGAGAUACCAUGUUUUAUGCCAAUAAAAGAAUAAUUGGUAUAUCAACUAUUAUACAAGAGUUAGCAAACAAUUAUUUGAACGGAAAUGCUAUAUGGAGUUAUUACUCUGGAGACCAGCUAAUGAUAUAUUCAAAUUCAAGAGAACUAAGGAAAGUAGAUAUGGAUGAAGUCCAGCGAUGAAUUUUAUCAUUAUUAAAACCAGAAGAAACACCUACGACAAGAGCACUCAAAGCAGGAUUUAUUUCGCCAGAACUAUUAACCAGAUAUUGCAAGCUAAUUGGACACAAAUACUCGGAUCAUCUAUGUUCAAAAUGUAAUCGAGAAGAAAACGUGAUUCCCAAUGUCCAGCUAGAAUAAAGUCAAGACAAAGAAGAUAGGGACAAAGAAGAUAAAGACAACUAAAGAGAUAAGGCAAAGAAGAUAUAUUUGGCCAAAAACGCCAAAAGCAAAUAGUGAAUAGUACUAUUAUUGUAAAUUAUUAGUCUUAUUGUAAGAAAGUGUAGUGUAAAUUAGUCAACAAUGUAGGAUGCAUAUUAAAAGUAGUAGGUAUGGUGUGUAGGGACAAGUGUAAAGAAGGUAGGUGUGGCAGUGUAAAAAAGUCAUAAAGUAAAUAGUACUACGUAAGAUAGUCAAGAAGUAGUGCAUUAUUGUGCAUUAUUGUACAUUAAUAUAAAGAUAGGAUNNNNNNNNNNNNNNNNNNNNNNNNNNNNNNNNNNNNNNNNNNNNNNNNNNNNNNNNNNNNNNNNNNNNNNNNNNNNNNNNNNNNNNNNNNNNNNNNNNNNNNNNNNNNNNNNNNNNNNNNNNNNNNNNNNNNNNNNNNNNNNNNNNNNNNNNNNNNNNNNNNNNNNNNNNNNNNNNNNNNNNNNNNNNNNNNNNNNNNNNNNNNNNNNNNNNNNNNNNNNNNNNNNNNNNNNNNNNNNNNNNNNNNNNNNNNNNNNNNNNNNNNNNNNNNNNNNNNNNNNNNNNNNNNNNNNNNNNNNNNNNNNNNNNNNNNNNNNNNNNNNNNNNNNNNNNNNNNNNNNNNNNNNNNNNNNNNNNNNNNNNNNNNNNNNNNNNNNNNNNNNNNNNNNNNNNNNNNNNNNNNNNNNNNNNNNNNNNNNNNNNNNNNNNNNNNNNNNNNNNNNNNNNNNNNNNNNNNNNNNNNNNNNNNNNNNNNNNNNNNNNNNNNNNNNNNNNNNNNNNNNNNNNNNNNNNNNNNNNNNNNNNNNNNNNNNNNNNNNNNNNNCAUGAUGAAAUGAUAAAAAACUAUGAAACUUUAAUCUUAUAUAUACUUAAAGGUAUAGAAAUAAUUGAAUUAAGACGAAUAAUAUGGGAAAAAAUAUUUAAUGAUAACGAAUCAGAAGAUAUAUUAAACCAACAAUGGUACGAAAUCGACCUACAUGAUUUAGAAUUCGAAAGAAUAGAAUGGUAUGAUUUAGAAAUAAAAUCAGAUUAAAAUAAACUACGAAUAUUUAUGAUAUUGGACAGAAUCUAUGGAAGAUAUAAAACUAUUAGAAGAAUUAAUGGAGGAAAAUUUAUAUAUGUAUCUAAUAACCCAAGAUAUGUUAUAUCUAAAAUAUAUCAUAAAUAAUAUUAAAGAGAUAUCAAGAUUAAGACACUUAGCAAAAGAAUAUUAUAAUAAAAUAUUUAGCCAAACAUAAAAUGAAUUCCUCACCUACCAAAAAUGGUACACCUACCAAAAUAUCAAAAAUACCAUGAAUUCUUCACCUACCACACUACCUACCACACUACCAAAAAUGUCAUGAACUCCGUGAAUUCCGCACCACCGAAAAAUGGAAUCACUUGUACUCUUGUUACCUGCUGGUAUAUCUAAAAAUUUAUAUUGGUACCUUGGACACUCCAUGCCACUUUGUAUUGUUGUGUCGGUAUCCUUUGGGACUUGCAAGACACUUGUUUAACUCGCCCACUAGUACAGAUUGCCCGAUCACUUGGCAUUCUACUGGAGACUUUGUCCUUCUUGUGGAUGUGACUUUGUCACUAUUGGAAUGCCUAUUGAUUCAGAUCUUGUUCCAUCUUGACUCUGGAUAUUUGGUUCGUCUUAAGUAUAGAAGUUGUCCAUUUUAAGUACGAACUAGAAAGCCAUUUUUAAUAUGGUUCUUGGUUCUCUAGAUUAUUGGAUUUUGACCCUUCUUGAUACAGGGCUUCGGUCCUUCUCGGUACUUGACUAUCCUUGGUGUGACGACUUCAUGUACAAAUUGGGCGCAACCUGUUAUUUGACCCGUUGUAAACUAUUCUCGAGUUUGUUGACACUUGAGUCUUUAAAUAAUAAAAGUCAUUCCUAAUAUGGUUCUUGAUUAUGGGGUUUUGUCCCUUCUUGAUACAUGGCUUCAGUCCUUCUAGAUUUGUGAUUACCUUGAAGUAAUACAUACCUGGUGCAAUAUGUUCUUUGGCCUUUUUCGAAAUAACGUUAUGAGCUUUCUUGAUGCUUGAGACUUUAAACAUAUGAGUUGAUACCUUUAAGGAAUUCGUUUACUAGAUGAAUGGAGAGCUUAUAGGGGCUCGGCAAUAUUGUUGUUUGAUUAUUAUUGUAGAAUUUGUUCCGGGAGACAUUAUAUUUUAUUGUGAUCAUUGCUAAUUCUCAUUCUUGAGUACGCUCUGGGUUUUAUAAUAACUACCAGCUUGCUCGAUUAACUAUUAAUUAGUUAUGGUUUAAGGUCUACUACAUGAGAAGGUGAGUACUUUCAGGUUAAAUUUGAUUCUCCACUCGAUUAUUUACAGUUCUUUAAGAUAUCAUGUCAGUUAUUCAUAGAUUCUUGAGCUGGUAAGCAUGUUUAUUUUAUCCUUAAACCUUAUCUGUAUUUGCACUCGUUAAUUCAUGAUACCGACUCAGUUACUAUUUUCUUUGCAUUAUCGAUACAUUAUUUUGUACUAAUGUCUCAAUUUAUUUGGGGACACUACAUUCAUGCAUGCAGGUCAUUAGGUACACAUAAGUCCUUAUUCCAUGUGGUCGAGUGAUCACCUGAUGAUUGUAUGCUCCGCUCUUUUCGGAUUUGCUGAUUUUGGAGUUCUUUUCUUCGUUAUAUAACUAAUGGGUACGUUGGGGUCUUGUCCCGACUUGUUGUUAGUGGUUCUUAAUUUUACAUGCUUGUAGACAUUUAUGGUGGGUAUGUCAGUCGGUUGUGGCUUUGCUGUCAGUCAUAUUCAUAUUUUUUUCGCCUUACCAUCCUUGGGUAAAUAGUGUUUGAUGUGUUGAUUUUCAUACAUGUCAUGUCUUAAAGAAAUCCUAUCGAUCAGUUGAAUUAUUCUCUUGAUUUUCUAUUAUGAUGAUUGGGGUUGUUUGGGCCUCGUCGGCCUGUGUUGUUACAAGUUUUGUUCUAUUAGUUGGUUUAUUCAGUCAAGUAGGGUUUUGGCAUCAUUCGCACUUGUUAUAUUCUAGGUGUUUUGAUGAUCCUCACAAAUGAAGGGACCUGGUCCCUGGCAGAGUGCUCUCGUACAGAUUCAAAUGGGGUACAAUUGUAAAGCUGUCCUGUCAAAGGUUGGUGAGGCGUCAGCGUACUACACCAAUCAGAAUGGACAAGUUGUUUGUCCAACGGUCAAUAAUUCUUUAUGGUUGACUUAGUCAACAUGACAAACAACAAAUUAAUUAAUUCAUUCAAAAGGAGAGAGAGCAAGCACGUCUUCUCAAGAACUUACUAAGAAAAGUUUGCAAGGACCUGGUCCCUGCAAGAUUGCGUAUGUGAAAGGACGACAAGACAACUGUCAGAAAAGCUGCCACUUCUGAUGUGGUAGGUGCACGUCUUUCCAGAGAGGCAGGCUCUCAGCCAAUGGACUGUCUCAAGGAGUUUGUGUUCAUUUUGAUAUAAUCUCAAAACACAAAACACAAACUCAAGAUUUGUCAAACAAAAACUUUGGACUUUUCUCUAAAAAUUUAUAAGCUUGAAAAGAGAAGGCCAUAUUCAAGGAAGAACACUGCUCAUAUCAACAAGGGACCUGAUGGAGUGCUGAAGCAUCUUGUUGUAUUUAGAGCUUUGUAUCUUAUGUGCUUAAAUUGUAAAUAUAUUCCUAUGUUAUAAAGGAGUUAGAUUUUUGUUAUGUUCAUCUAAAAGUCUAAGUCAGUUAAGGGUAACUUAUUUAGUGGGCAAUAUUGUAUCUACUUAGUCAAAUUCUAAAUCAUCUAGAAAUAGUUGGUUUAGUAGGCAGUGUUGUAUCUACUUAGUUGAAGUCUAAGUUAUCCAGAGUUAGGUAGCUUAGUGGGCAGUGUGGUAUCUGCUUAGUGGCUUUCUUUGUAGUAGAGUUACUACAUAGAGGGAGAAGGGAUUUAGAGUUAAAUUCCUAGGUUGCAAGAGUUUGUAAUCUGAAUUGUUGCCCCGUUUAAGUGGAAUGGAGUUUGGGUUGAAAUCCUGUGAGUAUAGGUCAUGGUUUUCACCGCCCUUGAGCAAGGGGGUUUCCACAUAAAACUCUUGUGCCUGUUUUACAUUGUGCUAUUCAUUUUCUGCACUGAUCACUGGUGGACGCGUACAUUCCAACAAUUGGUAUCAAAGCGUUGGAUUUUCUAUCUGGUUAACACUAAGAGAACAGAUCCCGAAGGAAUGACGGCUCCACCAAGUCUGGAAGAAGGUCAAUCUACCACACGUCCUCCUCGUUUCAACGACCAGUUCUAUGGGUGGUGGAAGAAAAGAAUGCACGAUUAUAUCAUGGCGGAAGACAGUGAGCUGUGAGAUGUGGUGCUUGAUGGUCCUUAUGUUCCUACCAAGGAUGUAAAAGAGGCUUUUUUUUAGGGGUCCAAAAGGCUAAAAGGUGGAGGAGAUGGAAGCCGAACCUCUAAUCGACUUGUAGGUUAGCAAACUGGUGAAUCAAUAGGCUUUGCUCCUGCCUUCGCUUCCAGGAGGAAGCCCUUCGUUCGGACAGAGUGCAAGACACGUCUCUUUUUUGAGAAAAGGCACCUGAUUUUCCCGAGUCUAGAAGAGAAUAUGAUGAAAUAGACAGAAAAAAGAUCGAGAAAAAUUAUAAAGCCAAAAAGUUGUUGGUAUGUGGAAUAGGAGCAGACGUAUACAACAAAAUUUCGGCCUGUGAAACGACAAAGGAAAUAUGGGACUGCUUGAAGACAACCCAUGAAGGGAAUACUCAAGUUAAGGAGUCUAAGGUUGACAUGUUGACAACUCAGUAUGAAAACAUUAUCAUGAAGAAAGAUGGAAAUAAUCAUGAGAUGCACUCCAGAUUUACGUCUAUUACAAAAGAACUUCGUUGUCUUGGUGAACCCAUUCAUCCAAGCAAGCAAGUUCGAAAAAUCCUUCUAGUUCUUUCCAAAUGAUCAUGGGAAAGCAAAGUGAAUGUCAUCACUAAAGAGAGCGAUUUGAAGACCCUUACAAUGGAUGAGUUGAUAGGCAACUUGCAAACCUAUGAGUUGAACAAACUACAAUAUUCAUCCAAGAAGGAAGGAAACAAAGAAAAACUUGUUGCACCGAAGGCAUCUCAAAAUGAUGCUUCUGAAGAUGAGAAAGAGAUGGCUUAUUUGACUAGAAGGUUUCAAAAAUUGAUCAAAAAGCAUGGAGGAUUUCAGAGAAAGGGGACUCCAGCAGAACAACAAAUGCAAAUGAUAUUUGCCAUAAAUGUGGAAAGCCAGGACAUUUCAUGAGAGAUUGUUCAAGCCCCAAACACGAGUUUCAAGUCUAUGCCAGAGGAGACAAAGAUAAGCGUAGGGACCAGGUCCCUAACUAUGCUAGGCGAAAGGCCAAUGCUAAUCAGGUGGUGAAGAAGGCCUUUGUUGUAUGAGGAAAUCCUUCCAGUGACUCUGAAGCAUAAGCUAUAACCUUACCUCGCAACAUCAACACACAACCAAGGCCGACUCUGGAUGCAUCACAGUAGAUAACAUAACUGUUUGAACCCUCUGGUAGAGUCAAUACAGGAGUUGUAGUCAACCUGGUUUUCAGUUCUGCGAAGAUUUUCUCACAAUCAUCUUACCACUGAAACUUAACCUUUUUUUAGUCAACUUAGUCAAUGGAGAGGCUAUGGAUGAAAAUCCUUCCACGAACCUUCGGUAAUAACCCGCUAGACCCAAGAAACUUAUGAUAUCUUUCGGAGAGGUAGAUCUGGGCCAUUGUUUCACUGGUUCUAUUUUCUGAGAAUCCACUCGGACCCCUUGAUUAGACACUAUAUGCCCAAGGAAAGCAACAGAUUGCAACCAAAACUCACAUCUGCUAAACUUAGCGAAUAACUGGCGGUCUUUGAGAGUUUGCAGGAUAAUUCUCAAAUGAUUCGCAUGUUCUUCAUCAUUCCUAGUGUAAAUGAGGAUAUCAUCAAUAAAAACGAUAACAAAAAGGUCCAGAUAUUGCUUGAAUACUAUGUUCAUCAAGUCCAUGAAAGCUGCAAGAGCAUUGGUUAGUCCAAAUGACAUACCUACAAAUUCAUAAUAACUAUACUGAGUCCUGAAGGCUGUCUUCGGAAUGUCACUAUCUCUGACUCUAAGUUGGUGAUAACCGAAUCUGAGGUAUGUCUUUGAGAAAUGACUAGCACCCUGAAGUUGGUCAAAUAAGUCAUCAAUCCUGGGGAUGGGAUACAUAUUCUUGAUUGUGACCUUGUUCAACUGCCUAUAGUCAAUGCACAUUCUAAGAGAACCAUCGUACUUCUUUACGAACAACACUAGUGCACCCCAUGGGGAAAUAUUGGGUCUGAUGAAGCCCUUAUCUAGAAGGCCUUUCAACUUCUCUUUCAAUUCCUUAAACUCAGCUAGAGCCAUCCUGUAAGGAGGAAUAGAAAUAGGUUGGGUAUCUGGAAGGAGAUCAAUUUCAAAGUCGAUUUCCCUUUCGGGAGGAACUCCAGGAAGAUCUUUUGGGAACACUUUUGGGAACUCAUUGAAUCAAGAGUUGGGGUUUUGGAGCUUUAAUCCUUAACCUGAACUAGAUGAUAGAGAUAACCCUUAGAGAUCAUCUUUCUGGCCUGAAGGUAAGAAAUGAAUCGACCGGUAGGCGCUAAGCUACUACCCUUCCAUUCUAAGAUCGGUUCGUCUAGAAAAUGAAAAUGAACAAUCCUAGUUCUACAAUCGAUUGAGGCAUAACAGUAAUGUAGGAAAUUCAUGCCUAGAAUGAUAUCGAAGUCUACCAUUUCUAACUCUACAAGUUCUACUGAGGUGACUUUCUAGGAGACUGUGACAGGGCAGUUUCUUAUACACAUCUAGCUAUAACUGGGUCACCGACUAGGGUAGAGACUGAGAAGGGUUCUAAGAGAGUUUCUGGACUAACAUAGAAUUUGAAUGCUAUAUAAGAAGUUACAAAGGAAAGUGUAACCCUUGGAUCUAACAAUGCAUAAACAUCAAUGUCAAAGACUCGUAACGUACCAGUGACUACAUCAGGAGAAUCUUCUUGAUCCUGGCGAGCCUGGAGAGCAUAAAACCUAUUUUGGCGCUGACCACCACAUGUACCAGAUGAGUUACCCUGCUGAGUCAAGCGACCUGUUGGUGUUGCUGAAGUUGUGGACUGAGCUUUGCCAUUGUUACCUCCUUGACCUUGUCUAGAAGGACAAUCUUUCAACCUUUGACUAGACUGACCACACCCAAAGCAUCCUUCCUUUCCUAUAAGGCACUCGCCCGGAUAGUUCUUACCACACUUUGGACAAGUUGGGUAGGUUCUGGUGCCUGAAACACUUCGCUGAGACUUAGAGCUUGAUGCCCUCCCUUCCUAAUCAUUUCUGAACAUGGAGGAUGGAACACUAGCUGAUGAAGGUGUUGGAGUUAAAGACUUAUGCUGACUCUACGAGCGAUUCCCACCACCCGAUUUCUGUUGACAAUACUCAUAGUUCCCAGUCCUAGCCUUCUUAUUCUCCUUGUCAUGUUUCCUAAGCUUAUCACCCUCAACCUGCUGAGCAUGAGCCUAGAGAUGUUCAUGUCUCUAAGGAACAUAGCAUUCCUACACUCUGUUUUCACUAGAUCAGAUUCCCUAUACAUGAACUUGUUCAUUUGAGCCCUGGAAUCAGCAACCAUAUGAGGAGCAUACCUGGAGAGUUGGGUAAACUUGAGUCCAUACUCUUGGACAUUCAUGGAACCCUGCCUUAAAUUCAUAAACUCCUGAGCUUUUGCCUCCCUUAACUCUCUUGGGAAGAACUUGUCCGGAAAGGUCUCACUAAAGCAUUCCCAAGUAAUAGGAUAUGUAUUUGUACCCAUGUUCUCUUUCCACUUAGUAUACCAGAUAUGAGCUACAUCCUUAAGCUGGUAAGAUGCCAACUCAACCCGAUCAUUCCCAGUUACCUGCAUCACUCAAAAGAUCUUCUUGACCUCAUCAAUGAAAUUUUGGGGAUCCUUACCAAUAUGUGAUCCUAAGAACUCAGGCGGAUUCAUCCAAACAAAAUCCCGAACUCUAGUUGCAGCUGACCCAACAUUAGCAUUUGCUGGAACUGGAACCUGCUGGUUGUUCUGGUUGGUCACACUCUGAGUCAACAACUAGAUAGCGUUCCUGAAUUCAGCAUUCGAAACUUCCUGAUUUGGGACUUGAGGAGUUGCAUUUGCAUUCCUGGAAUUCUCAUUCCUUGCGUAGGCUCUACAAGGAGGCAUGAUCUGAAAGUGCAUAACGAAGGUUUAGCACAAGGAAUUAGAUCAUACCUUACGCACGAUAAGAGUAACAAAACAAAUUAAAGUUUUCCUAAAACACUUUGCAGGCUCCUUCUCAUUAGAUGUGGUGCACUUCACACCCAUGAAAAGGAAUCUACUUAGUGUGGCUUUUCAGACAUCCUAGGACACUUAAACCUAGUGCUCUGAUACCAAGUUUGUUACAUCUCGAGGCUACCCUUGGACAGGGACAUACUAAAGAUAAACUGAGUAAUAAAACUGUGCGGAAGCUAAAUCAUAUAAAAUCUAAAAUGAUGGGGGGAUACCCGCAUACUGUCUUAAUAUAAGAAAAACUGAGAGUUUCAAUACAAGUGAAAAGUCAAACUCUACGACUAAAGCUGAAACUGACUAUGUCUAAAAUAAAGCCUCUACUGACUAGAAAUGAUGGGACAUGCCCCAGCUAAGUCUAGCAAAACUGAAACUAAAUGACUAAAAUCAAGAAAAUAAUCAUGUCACUAGCCCUCGAAGAAUGAGGACUCACCACUGAUGAUGUUGAACUGAAGAUCAAGAACCAAUCUAUGUGUAAUCUGACUACUGAGGACCUGAACCUACAUCACGAUAAGAUGUAGCGCAUAGUAUGCGUCAAUACUUGGAAGGUACUGAGCAUGUAUGAUAGAAUAAAACUGAACAAUAAUCAUAACUGAAUCAAAGCAUAAAUUUGAGCAAUGAUAAGAUGUAACACAUGAGAAUACACUGAGAAUACUAAAUAUGAAAUACUGAAUGGAAUGACCAAGUUUAUAACAUGCUGAGACUGAAAUAUGAACAAAAACCGAUAACAUGGUCAAUGCAAUUGAGUCUGACUGAACUAAAAGGGAGCUACUAAUAACCGACAUAAAACCACAUGAGCUAAAUAUGGAGUCCGAUGUAUAUGCCCCAUCGAGAGGACCCAGUAUACCCGACCAAAGGUAUAGAGGCAUGCUGGCACGAUCACUAAAAUGAUGCUCACAGAGGGGACUUACAACUUACGGGGAACGUAGUUCUGGGACUAUUCGGGUAUGCUGAACCCUAGUCCACUCGGUAUUAAGCUUCCUAUAUGAUUAAGUAAUUUAACACAUUAUAGAUGAAAUAUUGUAGUACUGGAUAGCUCAAAAUACUAACAUGCAAAAUCUGAGAAUGCAACAUUAAUAUAUUGAUAAUGACAAAUUCCAAACUGAGGCAUGUAUGUAUGAAAAUAUCUGAGUGAUCUGAAGUAGCUAACCUAGCAUGUGUAUUUCAUGAACUAAAGAACUACAUAGCUAGGGUUCUGACUUUAUGAAGGAAACUAUACUAAAACAUGCUAGAAGCCAUGAUAAACUGAUUUGGAAUAUUAAUUAACUAAGUCACAAUAAUCUGCUAUAAUUCUAGAAACCCUGGGUCUAGUUCAUAAUAAGGGAAUCAAGAAUCUGAUUGAAAUCUAGGGACCUAAUGGGUGAAAGGAACCCACUAGUGAAAUUCCACAUACCUGGUGACGAAUUUCACGGAGAAAUAUUUCGAUUUCGGGGCUGGAACUGAUGGAAACUUGUUACGUUCUUGAACUAGGGUUACUCGUCUCUUUCUCCUUUUUCGCUCUAAUUUUCUUAGUUUUUGAUGAAUGAUUUGACUUAGGUAAGUUCUAGUUAUGUUUUCGGGCUAAAACUUAUCAAAACCAUGUAGUUUAGGGGUUAAACGACGUAGUUUAGGUGUCCAACAAAUAGGGGAAAAGACUGAAAUAACCCCACUUAAAAAUCUGACGGGGCUGACCACGGCCACUUUCACAGACCGUGAAAGGGACCAUGGACCGUGGGACCGGUCGUGGUCCUUGGCCAGUGGUUACUGGUCGAGAGGGUCCUGUCCAUAAGCCCUUACCACGCCCCCUGAGGAGGACCAUGGACCGUGAAGGUCCCCGUGGUCCUCACUUGGGCUGAGGUCUGGAGGUUUAGGUUUGGGGGCCUACUGGUUAGGCUUCAUGGACACCCCCACGACCCGUCUUCAGGACCACAGACCGUGAAGGUCCCCGUGGUUCUUACUUGGGCGAGGGGUGUCUGGGGGCUAGGCUUUGGGGCCUACUGGUUGACCCCGACGGAUGCCACCACGGUCCGUCAUCAAGACCACGACCUGUGAAGGCUCCCGUGGUCUGACACCUGGGACUGGUGGAGUUCAACUCCAGACCACGGGCAUGUCAACGGACUAUGGACUCUAUCACGGUCUGUGAACCCUGCCAUGGUUCACUGGUUCAGGUAAGUUUUCUGCAAAUUUUUUCUAGGUCUGGUUUUCGAGGUGUUACAGGUACUCUAUUCCGUAGUAGAGGGUAUUCUAAAAGUUUGGAAAUGACAAGUCUCAGAUUGGUUUGUACGAGCUUACAAGACAACAUGUGGAAUGUUGUACAUGUUGUGGAUACCUUUCAUAGAGUGAAUUUCAAACUUGGUGGAUUUUUAUACCUUGCACUGCUUGCGUAUUGUGCAUUAUAGUUUUUGGUCAGUUGUUGGUUUUCAGAAACAUAGAAUUUCAGCAAGUUAGGUGUACGAGUUGCAGUAGAUCCCGUAAAAGAGGAUAUAGACCAUUCAUGACCAUUCGUGGUUGAGGUCCUGGACUUAGCCUAGUUUCCAGGAUUGACUUCCAUAAGGGAGUAUUACAAGUCGUACAUUAGUUGACAAAUCAUGGAUGGUUCUCAGGUUUUGAGUUCAGAAAGCUGGUCUUCAAUAUUGAUUAUAUGAAGGACCAUUACGGUCAGUAGAAGUGAGUGAGGACCAUACAUGGGGUGCCUAGAUAAGCUCCGACAUUUAUUUUCCAAGGUUAGUUGGGUAUUUUCCUACUCUUUUAGCAAUUAAACUACGUGGUUUCUAGACUAUUCCUAAGCCCUAUAAUUAUUUUUACACUCAAAACCCUCCCUAUUUAAUCUAAAACCCCAAAAGCUCUCACUCUUCUCUCCAAGGAUUCUCUCAAGAUGAUUUCUAGGACUUUUCAUGUACAAGUCUCCUUUUAGGAUUCCAAGGCUAGGGUUCAUCAAGUUAUGUGAGAACUUUAUCAAUGAGUUCCUCUCCACCCAUUGACUGCCAAGAAAACGACAAAAUCUCUUUAUGAUUCCAACCCAAGUUCUAGGGUUUUCAUGAUUCAUGUAUGUGUUUAAUUAGUUUUGUGUUUAAUCAUUAUGCAUGAUCAUAUUAUGGAUGAUUUGAUCAUAAUUAAUGGUUUUAAUGUUCAUUUUCAGGAGCCCAUUCUAUAUAACUGAUUUUGAUUUGAAAUCAAGCUUUGAAGACAUGCAUGCAUUAUGAAUUGAAUGAUUUAUGAAUCAAGAAUGCUUUUAGAUAAAGUAUCAAGCAUGUUUUAUGAAAUUGAAUGCUUCCAAUUGAAUUAAUUCUUAUUAUGAAAGAUUAUCAUGAUUUAAAUUCUUUCAAUUAAGUAUCUCUUACGAAUUGAAUAUGUUAUUAAAUCAUGUUAUUUUAAAGGAGCUAUUCUUAUGAUUAUUAGUCUUCAUGAUUGAAUCGGUAUUACUAAAUUCAUACAAUUUAAAGGACUAUAUGAAUAAGAAUAUGAUAUGAUUAUGUAUAUUUUUCCAUUGAGAGUUUACUUAGCACUAGAUGGACCAUGGGAUGAAGACUCACCCAUUAGUUUUUGGAUUUUGUAUGUGGUGUACGGGUUACGUCCCGACCAUUUCUUUGAUGUACUAGAUUUCUUGUCAAGACUAUGAUUGAUUUCCUCUUAUAAAUGUCAAACUCAUUUAUUCCUAUGAGAUUAUUUAUCUUUGUCUAUUAUAUUGAUUAUAUAUAAGUCAAGUGGCUUGUGUAAGGCCUUUUUGGGUCUUAUACGUUAUGUCACAUCUAGGGUAUACUUUGAGUCUUGAAACACAUGUAGCACUAAUAGUCCUUCAUGUUUCAAGAGUCAUCACACUUUUUGUUUUCUAUCAAACAACCGUCUAAUUUUUAACGGUGAAAUUUGUGCCCCCAUGAGAAAGUCUCAUCUGUUAUAUAACAUAAUACUAUUUCAACCAUUGCUAAUCAAAUCUUCCCAAUCCAUAAUUUCAUAACUUUGAUUUCCAGAAUAAAAAAAUUGAGAUUGGUUAUUGGAUAAGUAAGAAUUAUUCAGAUGCAUCUUGUUACUUUUGAAAAAUCUCUUCUUUUCCUUUUUGUUUUUUGCUCAUGUCCCUUCAAUGGAAGUCUUCGGAAAAAGUAAAACUCCCUGUUUUUAUGAAUGCAAAUAGUUUUCAUUGUCAUCAAGCCUUCAAGUUUAAACUAUUACUUGUUAUUGCUUUUCAUUUAUUUUUUGGGGUAGUUUAAGGGGAAUCUAGUUCUGCUUUUGAGUGCGUUAUAGUGUUGUUUUAGUGUGAUCUGGUGUAAUUUUGGAGUUUGUUUUGAUUUUGUUCUGGUGCAAUUUCAGUGUUGUUUAGGUGCUUUUCUAAUGUUGUUUUGGUGUAGUUUCAGUGCAGAAAAUUUGAUGCUGCUAUUUUGGUGUAAAUUUGGUACUGUUUUGAGGCUUUUCUAGUGCAAUUUUAGUACUUUUUUGGUGCAAUUAUUAUGUCGUUUUAGUGUGAAUCUAGUGCACAACUAAUUUGGUGAAAUUCCUAUGUUGUUUUGGUGUACAAAAAACACUAUUAAAAAUUAAACGAAUGCUUCAGAGAAUAUCAAAAUUGCACCAAUUGUUAAAAUAUGGAGGACUAUUAGUGCUCCAUGAUUAAAAAAAAUAGGAUUACUUUGACUCAUAACUCAAAGAUAUGGGAAAUUUUUUAUCCUUCAAUGUUUUUUUAUAUUUAAUUCCAUUCCAGCGGGCCACAGUGAACAACUAGAAAUUAUGACAUCUCAUUUUAGAUUCUUUAACAAGACUCGUGACAUAACACAAAUAAUAUAGCAAGACAUAAAAUAUUAUUUCCCUAAACCACAUUGUAUAUAGGAUAACUUAUCACACUAAUGUAUAAACCAUUGAGCUUUCUUUUCCUCUCACUUGUCAAAUUUCAGUGUUUGAGAAUCUACCAAAACAUUGAACUAAAAACCCUCUCUAAUUGAUUUUGCCAGAAUUCACCGGUAAUCUAUGAUUGAGGUGAAUUACUCGGUCAAAAACUCCGUCACUUUGCUUAGUUCAUUAAAUACACUUGAAUUUAUCACAUAAAAUUCAUCCUAUGAACUUUCUCAUUUAAAAGUUUUCAAAAUAUCAAAAAAGGCAAAAAAUAAUAAUUAUUUUCUCAUUUUAGGCAAGUAAUUUAAGUGAAGAUUAUGAACUUAGCAUAUCUACAGAGAGAUUUAUUUAUUUAUUUUUAAUCUCCAUUAUUUUUUGUGAUGUGUGUAGCGGUGCUUUUCAUAAUGAGUUUCCAGGUUGAUAGUGAGAUUUUAUUAUUGUCUUAAAUAUUUUUUAUCAGAUUCUCAUAAUUUGUUCUGACUAUUUUAUUUUUAUUUUUCGCUUGGAUUUUUGAAGUGAUAGAUUUUUCGCAUUGAUAGAGCUCGAUAUUAGCCUUUCAGUGUAGGAGUAAUCUUUAAAUACAUGAAAAUGGUAAAGUUUUCAAUUUGAAUUGUCUUAAUAUUUAUGUUGUUGCAUCAACAAUUUUUAAAAAUGUUUUAAGGCUAUGGCAAAAUUAACAAUAAACUUUCUUGUUUUGAUUUAUGUUCCUUUUUUAAAUCUCUAAUAAAUGCUUUGAUCUAUGUGCUUCUUUUUUGUUUUAGACUGUAACGUGUGCUUUGAUUUGGAUUAUUUUUUCAUUUUUCUUGUGUUAUAAGAUUAAUAUUUUAUAUGUUGACGAAUUGAUAUAGUUCACGCUCUAUAUAAUUAACUGACAGUCACUUGUUCAAAUAAAAGUUUUUUUAGUGGUAUUCAUUUCUGCAUAUUGAUUCUUGACAUGGAUAUACUUAGGCUCCUCCUUGAAUUGUAGAGGGUACUUUAUCAAAGGCGAAUCUAGAAUUUUUAGAACGUGCACAACUUAAAAAAAGAAUGGGUAUUAAAUGUUAAAUUUUGUUAGCUAAAAAUUAUUGGGUUCGAUUACUAAACAUGGUAGCUUCAUUCUUUGUAUACAAUCAUUUGUGCUUAUUGAUUAGCCAUUGUCUUCUUCAUCAAUAGAGAUUGGCCAACUCUUUCAAGUUAGGGUUUUUCAUUUAAACUGUAGUAGAAAACCUUUUUUCAAAAAAGCAUAAAAUAUUUGUUACUUUAUAUGCCUUCUCCAAAAAAAGAUUUUUGGUGAAACUCGAAUUGCCUUAAUAAUUUUUUUCUGUACUCUGCAAACUCUUAUGUGAUCUAUCUAGUCUUCCUAGAAUAAGUUCCUUGAGGUGCUUAAUGAUGUUGAUGCUCACACUGAUGGAGAGAUGAGGAGUGAGAAUUCCUUGAGUAUCGAACAGAAGCAUGCUCAUCAAUCUUUAGGCGAUGAAAAUAUGACAUGUGAACGUUUCAUUAAUGUUCCUCAAAAAAAGUUUGUCUCAUCAUGGGAAAGAAGCUAGUGAUCUGAAUGUUAGAAAUAGUGACAAAUUGUUCCCUUUGUCAUAAAAAUUAUCUUCUGACUCAUUUUUGGAAAGAUUAUGAAGAGAUUAUCCUUCUCUUGUGUGAAAAUCUUCAAAUACUAGAGAAGAUAACAUAAAUGUUACAUCUCUAGGACAUGAAAUCAAAAACGUCAAUUCGAUUGGAGAACUCUGCAAAGGGAAAAAAAUCCAUCAAUCCUAUAGACAACACAAUCAACAAUGUGAAUAGUGAUAAGGAUAUUGGUGUUGCCUCUAGGAUCUCAACUUCUUAUAAGAAGGAUGUCAUGGGUGAUUUCUGCAUUGGCAAGCCACGUCAGAGUAAUAGAAGUGUAAUUCCACCUAAAAGGUUGAACGAUUACUUUUGCAAAGGAAAAAAGUGACGCGAGCAAGGCAAGACUUAAUAAUGGAAUUGGUAUACUAGUGUAAGAACGUGGGUAGGAAGGAAUAAGGAAAUACGAAGUACUUUACUACAAGUUUGCCCUGUGUCCAUAAGUGUAACGAUCCAAAAAUGGAUGUGAUGGCACUCGUCUUAUCUCACCAAGACAAGUCAGCCUCAAACCCAACCAUUGCGAUAAAGUGCGGAAAUAAAAUGAAAUUUGAAGUUUAAUAACAAUUAAUAAUG
This 16434-nucleotide long non-coding RNA is filed under the name Solanum tuberosum (potato). RNAcentral describes it as "long non-coding RNA (STUB_LNC011546)". The record is from RNAcentral. Lineage: Eukaryota; Viridiplantae; Streptophyta; Magnoliopsida; Solanales; Solanaceae.